UACGUAGGUGGCAAGCGUUAUCUGGAAUUAUUGGGCGUAAAGAGCGCGCAGGUGGUUGAUUAAGUCUGAUGUGAAAGCCCACGGCUUAACCGUGGAGGGUCAUUGGAAACUGGUCGACUUGAGUGCAGAAGAGGGAAGUGGAAUUCCAUGUGUAGCGGUGAAAUGCGUAGAGAUAUGGAGGAACACCAGUGGCGAAGGCGGCUUCCUGGUCUGUAACUGACACUGAGGCGCGAAAGCGUGGGGAGCAAACAGGAUUAGA
This 259-nucleotide ribosomal RNA is filed under the name uncultured prokaryote. RNAcentral describes it as "partial 16S ribosomal RNA". It matches the Rfam family "Bacterial small subunit ribosomal RNA", at positions 524 to 782 of the family's 1533-position model. The record is from RNAcentral.